GACGAACGCUGGCGGCGUGCUUAACACAUGCCAGUCGAACGGAAAGGCCCUGCUUGCAGGGUACUCGAGUGGCGAACGGGUGAGUAACACGUGGGUGAUCUGCCCUGCACUUCGGGAUAAGCCUGGGAAACUGGGUCUAAUACCGGAUAGGAGCCAUUUUUAGUGUGAUGGUUGGAAAGUUUUUUCGGUGUAGGAUGAGCUCGCGGCCUAUCAGCUUGUUGGUGGGGUAAUGGCGUACCAAGGCGGCGACGGGUAGCAGGCCUGUGAGGGUGGACGGCCACAUUGGGACUGAGAGGCGGCCCAGACUCCUACGGGAGGCAGCAGUGGGGAAUAUUGCACAAUGGGCGCCAGCCUGAUGCAGCGACGCCGCGUGGGGGAUGACGGCCUUCGGGUUGUAAACUCCUUUCGCUAGGGACGAAGCUUUUUGUGACGGUACCUAGAUAAGAAGCACCGGCUAACUACGUG
This 465-nucleotide ribosomal RNA is filed under the name uncultured bacterium. RNAcentral describes it as "partial 16S ribosomal RNA". It matches the Rfam family "Bacterial small subunit ribosomal RNA", at positions 28 to 507 of the family's 1533-position model. The record is from RNAcentral.